AUGGGGUAUGUCCAGUCAUUUGUAGUAGCCACUUAGUCACAAACACUGGCCAAAUAUUUGUUUUCUGCUUUUUUAACACAAAAACAAAUAUGAAGGCUAACUUUGGCCAGUGUUUGUGACUAAGUGGCUACUAAAGAACACAGGACAUACCCCAA
Molecule: non-coding RNA, 155 nt
Organism: Pelobates cultripes (western spadefoot toad)
Lineage: Eukaryota; Metazoa; Chordata; Amphibia; Anura; Pelobatidae
Source: the annotation of a GenBank genome assembly